GCUGAGGCUCAAUGCUUGAUUAUAAAAACACAAGCAAUUAAAUGGUUGGAGUCAUGCUGUCCAUCAAUAUGAUUGGCGGUCAACUAUACCAAUCAAUGAGCUUAUUUACAUUUGAAUCUCUUCCUUAUUUUGUAUAGUCUUGCGGUGACUCUUUUUCCUCUAAGAUCUCUUUAUUUUAUUAUUUUCUGUUUGUACGAGUUAUAUAUGGCUAUUGUAGAAUAAAAUUAGAAAGUAUAAAAAAGCAUAAUGAAGGGGAAAACCCUACAGUGUUGCCACCCAGAGACAUACAGACACCAUUAACAUAAUGGCUGUUUCCUUGGAGAAUUUUUUUAAGCCUUUUUUUUUUUUUUAAUCUGUCUGCUCUGCUUAGGAAAUGAUUUUUUUUCCUUUCCCCAGUAUUUUUGCAGACAAAAGAGAGUCCCUGUGGUUCCAUCUGAAUGUGAAUGAAGCCCUCCAGCUGCUGUUUCUCAUGUGGCACAUACACCUCCACUGUUUCAGCAUAUCCUUUUCAGAUCACUCACCAGACAGCAUCCUACAGUCUCAUUCAUAAAGUCCAAUUAUAAGACAAGAAAUGUCAGGAAUAUACACUUUGAGAGUGGGAGGCAAACAGAACAGUACAUUGUGACUUUGUAAGAACAGCCAUGCAUUUCCUCUGGGCUUGUUUUCAGUUCCUUUGUCAGCUGAUUACAUGGUCUUUUAUAAUUUCUCAUCUACAGAAUGGAGCUAUUUGCUUGUGGAUUAUUUGAAAGACACAGGCUUAUGCAAAAGAAAAACGAAAUCAUCGUGAGGUAGGAUGAUGUUUCUGACUAGUGUUUUUUUUUCCUUUUUCUCCUUUAACAGAAGAUGAGAAGACAAUUUAUAAUAGUGGCUCUUAGGGAUAUGAAACAAGUAAAUAUUCUAUUAAGUCAGCCCUAAUUCUUAUGUAAUGUUAUGUAUGCAUUUGUUACUGAUAUAAUUGCAUUUAUCAGUCAUUUAUUUUCAUAUAGAGAAGAAUGCUCUCUCACUUGCAUUUUGUUUUCAAAUCCUGCAUGUUUUCAAGGUAUGUAUGUUGUGUUUCUUGACUUCUACAACACUGUUUUCUGCUGCAGAGGAUGAUAUUUUGCAGUUUACAAAGUGCUUUUCAUAUACAUGAAGCUACUUAAUUCCCAAGGUACUCCUCAACUGUAAAGCUGGUCAAAGUGCUUUGGGCUUUGAAUCCUCAGCUGUGGUUUUACCUUCCAUGUAGCCCUGUAAGUUUGCUCUUCUCUCUGCCUUUGAUCCUUUUGCUUUCCAUGUUUAUAGACUUAGCUCAGGGCCACCUCCUCCAUGAAAUCUUUUGUAAAUGACCACAUCCUUCCAACUGUAUCUCUAUGAAUGCAGUUUUCAUGGGAAAUUUAUUUUAAUUUUGUUGUUAUCGAUUUUAUUACUUGAGAGGCAGCGACAAAGAGAGUCAGAGAGAGAGAGAGAACUCCCAUCUGCUUGUUCACUCCCAAAUGCCUGAAAUGGCCAGGGAAGAGAGCUCAAUCCAGGUUUCCCCUGUGAGUGAUAGGGAAUCAACUACCUGAGCUGUC
Molecule: long non-coding RNA, 1550 nt
Organism: Oryctolagus cuniculus (rabbit)
Lineage: Eukaryota; Metazoa; Chordata; Mammalia; Lagomorpha; Leporidae
Source: Ensembl